CUUCUCCGAUCUUACCCUUUACAAGAAACAAGAGCAUUCAGCUCGAGACCAAAAUAGGCUCGCAUCCAUUCUUCCCCAUUCUCAUAAAAGAGGAGCUCGUGUUCAUGAGCUCAAGAGCACGACUAACUCCACCGACGUUCCGUUAAUUAAAUAUGUUCAUGUAGUCGAAGGCGCUGGGAGUAACCCUUCCUUUGGUACAGCCGUCAACAUCAACCCAAAAACCUAUUAUCUUUAAUGAUCAUUACAUUAAGUUAUAGAUACUUCUAUGUUAGAUCUAGACCAAUGGCUGCUCACAUGAAACCCGAUCUUACGAGAUCGUGAUCAGUCAAUCCGAGAUCACUAUCUCAUUAUUCUUGUGAAUAAACGACGUCUAUCCCAAGACGGGAACCGACAAGCCCGAUGUCUCUCUCAAGAUCGAUUAACUUGAUAUCUCUUUUGAGUUCUUCACACAACGUCCGAUCCAAUAUGUAACCAGUAUUAGUCCGUAAAGACUCAUCGACCAUUCAUAAACGAUACGAGACGGACGAAGCCAAUCUCUCGCCCGAGACAGCCUAACCGAUAUCAUGAUAAUGGCACGAGCUUGUAUUUAUACAAUGCCAUUUAUGUCUCAGUCAAGACCGAUGAAACCGAUCUCUCAUUCGAGAUGAUUAUAAUCGAACUACGUUUAGACUUGAUCCCUUGACGGGUACGUAUGCAGCUCGGCCCCGAGUUCAGUCACGAUCUUUCUCUCCUCCGAGAUCUCGAUGUUAUUCGACAUAAGAAUAAAGUCCAUUCUUGUCAACUCGAAUCCAAUUCUAUCGCUGUGUUCUGAGGAUAUUGUCGCCCAUGAAGUUCUUUCUUCCCUAGUUUUACAUCUCAAACACUAUCAAAUACUUAAUGUAGAUUUUAGGAUCUACAUUUUGGCGCCGACUUGUGAAUUAUAGGUGAAGGUGACAAAUAAAUAAAUAAUCAUUUGUUAUAGUUCAAUUGAUUUUUGCUCUAAUUUCAAACAAAGAUUAUACUAACAUCUUUCAUUUAUUACUCUCAAGGUUUGAAAUUCCACCUAGCUCCGUACCAACUAAUGUACGACCGUGUUUUCGAACACAAAUGGAGAUGCUUAAUUACUUCCGAUCACCAUUUAACCGGACGAGUAUACGACCGUGUUUUCGAACAUGGAUUAAUAGUAUGUGAUUUUUACUUUUUUAUGACUACAUAUUGACUAAUUCUAAAAGCUACUACAAAUAUUUUUGUAUUAUGUAUUUUAACUUUUGUGAUAUCGACUAAUUUCUGAAACAUAGUACAACUUUCCCUC
RNAcentral lists this long non-coding RNA (1291 nucleotides) under Brassica napus (rape). RNAcentral describes it as "long non-coding RNA (BNAP_LNC009286)". The record is from RNAcentral. Lineage: Eukaryota; Viridiplantae; Streptophyta; Magnoliopsida; Brassicales; Brassicaceae.